This 1151-nucleotide ribosomal RNA is filed under the name uncultured organism. RNAcentral describes it as "bacterial SSU rRNA". It matches the Rfam family "Bacterial small subunit ribosomal RNA", at positions 35 to 1157 of the family's 1533-position model. The record is from RNAcentral.
GCUGGCGGCGUGGUUGACACAUGCAAGUCGAGCGGGAACGUCCCUUCGGGGAACCAGUACAGCGGCAGACGGGUGAGUAACGCGUGAUCAAUCUGCCCUUGGGAGAGGAAUAGCCAUUCGAAAGAGUGAGUAAUACCUCAUAAGACUACAGCAUCGCAUGGUGCAGUGGUAAAAAGGUUGGGAUCUUCGGACCUUCCGCCCAAGGAUGAGAUCGCGUCCUAUUAGCUUGUUGGUGAGGUAACGGCUCACCAAGGCAGCGAUGGGUAGCCGGCCUUAGCGGGUGGACGGCCACACUGGAACUGAGACACGGUCCAGACUCCUACGGGAGGCUGCAGUGCUGAAUUAUUCGCCAAUGCGCGAAAGCGUGACGGUGCGACGCCGCGUGCGGGACGAAGGCCCUAGGGUCGUAAACCGCUGUCAGGGCUUCGGAAACCGUAGAGGUUAAUAGCCUCUGCGCUGACCAGGCCCAAAGGAAGCACAGGCUAAUCUCGUGCCAGCAGCCGCGGUAAUACGAGAUGUGCGAGCGUUGUUCGGAAUUACUGGGCAUAAAGGGUGCGCAGGCGGCCAUGUAAGUCAGGUGUGAAAUCCCUCGGCUCAACCGGGGAAUUGCAUCUGAUACUGCAUGGCUUGAGAACGAAAGGGGCAAGCGGAAUUCCAGGUGUAGCGGUGGAAUGCGUAGAUAUCUGGGAGAACGCCAAUGGCGAAGGCAGCUUGCUGGGUCGUUUCUGACGCUCAUGCACGAAAGCUAGGGGAGCAAACAGGAUUAGAUACCCUGGUAGUCCUAGCUGUAAACGAUGGGUACUAGGUUCCGGGAUUCCUGAUGAUUUCGGAGCCGCAGUUAAUGCGUUAAGUACCCCGCCUGGGGAGUAUGGUCGCAAGGCUAAAACUCAAAGGAAUUGACGGGGGCUCACACAAGCGGUGGAGCAUGUUGUUCAAUUCGAAGCAACGCGAAGAACCUUACCUGGGUUUGACAUGCAGGAAGUAGAACCCUGAAAGGGGAACCACCGGUAUCCAAUCCGGAACCUGCACAGGUGCUGCAUGGCUGUCGUCAGCUCGUGUCGUGAGACGUUGGGUUAAGUCCCGUAACGAGCGAAACCCUUGUCGUCUGUUGCUACCAGGUAAUGCUGGGCACUCUGACGAGACUGCCGGUG